This 184-nucleotide non-coding RNA is filed under the name Gammaproteobacteria bacterium. RNAcentral's name for it is "6S RNA". It matches the Rfam family "6S / SsrS RNA". Rfam says of the family: E. coli 6S RNA was the first non coding RNA to be sequenced, but its function was unknown until recently. It consists of 184 nucleotides that fold into an extended hairpin structure with a large single-stranded internal bulge. The record is from RNAcentral. Lineage: Bacteria; Pseudomonadati; Pseudomonadota; Gammaproteobacteria.
CGCCGCCUGCGGUGUUCGAUACUGUAUCGGAUUUUUCUUGGCCUAUGCUUAACCCUGUUGGGGGCAUUACAUCGGUGUUGUGUGCAUGUCCGUUCAUCGGAAAGCCUGAUAUGCCGAUUGUUGUUCCCACCUCAAUCGCUCCGGUCCCAAGAGUGACGAUACGGCCGGCACAGGCGGGGGGCGC